GGCUGCGGGUGGCCCCCGUUUCACACCUGCAUGCUGGAGUGGGAGGGGGCCCGUGGGUUUCGUAAUCGGCCGCCGUGUCUCCCUCGCCCGGGCUGCGCCUCGUUCACUGCAGGCAGAACAAAGCUCUCGGUCGCACUGGUGCUUCCUGGCUUGUCGCCUCCUGCCUGCAAACCGCUGAGCGUCCCCCGUCCUCCUCCUUCCCUCCCCCGUCCCCUCCCCGCCUUGGUAUCAUCAUGCCGAAAGAGAGAAACGAGACGCGAUGAGCGAUUCAGGAAGCUGCUACUUUGGCGUGCCCAGCCUCCUGCUCGCCCAAAGAGUGAGUUUGGAGCCCUGCCCAGGCCUCUGACAAGGUGCUCGCAGCACAGAUACUGUUUGCGUGGAGGUGACUUCAAUUUUGUUCUUCAGAUUUGAAUACCUCAUCUCUUUCUGCCCUAACACUGAUCUUCUACUGCAAGGAUGUCACUGCAUCAGGGAUGAGGGGCUUGAUAGCCACCUGUAUGUAUGACUCCUGAACAAUGAUAUGAGGUCAGAAGAAUGAGCUUGAUCCCAAUCACAUUCAUAUCGAUACAAAUGGGUUUAACUUUAGCUGUGCAUGGAGAGAGGUAAUUUUAAAUGACAACUAAAUGAAGUCAGAGAACUUCACCAGUCAAUUCACUGGCAUCCAAAAUGCAGAGGGCAGACCUUCUAUGCAGAGAUGCUGAUCUAUACUGACUCAAGGACUACCUCUAUUCUUUUUUUUUUUUUUUUUUUAAACUUAAGCCUCAUCUUUUGAAUUUCCAGGCAUUUGGGCUUUUUCUGGUAAUUAUACUGCAGUAUUGUUGUACCUAGUUUUUUCUUAAAUAGAUUUGCAAAAACCUAGAAUCAUCUAUAGCAAAUCAGAGUUGUAUCUUUUAAUCUCUGAGAUGAUGUUUGGCGUGGAGGGGAUACAUGACUACGAAGUGGAUGUUGUAUGAACAUUUCUAUGCAAAAUAUAAAAUUACUUGAUUGCAUGUGGUUGAUGACUGGAAGCUGGAUCUGAUUACUUGAAUGAUCUCUUCCUGAGUUCCUAUAACUCAUUUCUAAUAUGGCUUGUGUCUCGAAUGCUUUUUUUAGCCAGGAGUUGCAUUACAUUGUGGGUAGCGCUCUCUCCCAUUUUUCUUUCCACUGAACACCAGUCUUUCAGUGACCCUUUCUGUCAGUUGUCUUUGUGCUUGGCUGUAUUGUAGAGAUGUGAAGAUCGUAAUAGGAAAUAAAAGAUAAGGGAAAGAUAAAACCUUUCCUUAU
This 1263-nucleotide long non-coding RNA is filed under the name Struthio camelus australis. Its description in RNAcentral is "lncRNA (ENSSCUG00000003354.1)". Lineage: Eukaryota; Metazoa; Chordata; Aves; Struthioniformes; Struthionidae. The record is from RNAcentral.